Molecule: ribosomal RNA, 490 nt
Filed under: uncultured bacterium
Lineage: Bacteria
Description: partial 16S ribosomal RNA
Rfam family: Bacterial small subunit ribosomal RNA
Source: RNAcentral
GAUGAACGCUAGCUACAGGCUUAACACAUGCAAGUCGCGGGGCAGCAUGGGGGUUGCUUGCAAUCCCCGAUGGCGACCGGCGCACGGGUGAGUAACGCGUAUCCAACCUGCCCUUCACCACGGGAUAACCCGGCGAAAGUCGGACUAAUACCGUAUGUUGUCCAUUGACGGCAUCCGAUUUGGACGAAAGGCUUGGCGGUGAGGGGUGGGGAUGCGUCCGAUUAGCCAGACGGCGGGGUAACGGCCCACCGUGGCUACGGUCGGUAGGGGUUCUGAGAGGAAGGUCCCCCACACUGGAACUGAGACACGGUCCAGACUCCUACGGGAGGCAGCAGUGAGGAAUAUUGGUCAAUGGGCGUAAGCCUGAACCAGCCAAGUAGCGUGCAGGAUGACGGCCCUAUGGGUUGUAAACUGCUUUUAUGCGGGGAUAAAGUGGCCCACGUGUGGGCUUUUGCAGGUACCGCAUGAAUAAGGACCGGCUAAUUCCGUG